RNAcentral lists this ribosomal RNA (480 nucleotides) under uncultured bacterium. RNAcentral's name for it is "bacterial SSU rRNA". It matches the Rfam family "Bacterial small subunit ribosomal RNA", at positions 28 to 526 of the family's 1533-position model. The record is from RNAcentral.
GAUGAACGCUAGCGGCGUGCCUAACACAUGCAAGUCGAACGUGAAGAAGCCUUCGGGCUUCUGAAAGUGGCGGACGGGUGAGGAAUACGUAGGUGACCUGCCUUCGAGUGGGGGAUAACCACGGGAAACUGUGGCUAAUACCGCAUACGUUGAGAAAGUCGGGAGACUUACUCAAUAAAGCUUUAGUGCUGGGAGAGGGGCCUACGUCCGAUUAGUUAGUUGGUGAGGUAACGGCUCACCAAGGCGAUGAUCGGUAGCUGGUCUGAGAGGACGAUCAGCCACACGGGAACUGAGACACGGUCCCGACUCCUACGGGGGGCAGCAGUGAGGAAUAUUCGGCAAUGGGGGCAACCCUGACCGAGCAACGCCGCGUGGAGGAUGACGGUUUUUGGAUUGUAAACUCCUUUUCUGUGGGAAGAGACAGGACGGUACCACAGGAAUAAGUCACGGCUAACUACGUGCCAGCAGCCGCAGUAACAC